GUUUGCAGUAGUCAUGGCUGGAAGGCAUCCAAGCUUUUGUCAAAUUAACGUCAGAUUUUACUUUUCGUAGCAGGUUAUGAUAAUUAUGUUAAGAUUAGGAACAUGGUAAGGGUUAGCAAAAAUGUUAAUAAUAUAUACUUUUGACGUUAAUUUGACAAAUACUGGAUUAUAUAUAGCAAGGCCUGCUUGCAGUCUCAUCCAUGUGAGGCGUCAUCCGCGGUCCAACAAAGUAGGCCCUACCGUGUAAUUCUGAAGAUAUCCAUCAGAUGGCAAUGCAGCUUUAGCUAUUGGAAAGGAACGCUGCCACUACCUCGCUCUCCAACCAAGAGAGGGAGAGAGAGAGAGGAUAGUUACACCUGCUUGGCCUAUCAUUUUAAAGCCCUGUGCUGGGCUCCAGAGGGGCGCGCCACCGGGGUGGAGCCACUGCUGAAGUUCACCUGAUACAACUUUGAUCUUCACCAGCGGGGGUGGAGAUGAUUUUAUUUAAGGUGUCUCAGCAUCUCCGUGGCAUUGCGCUGUGUGAGGUACACAGUGAAAUUGCAGGUUUAUUUGCGCUAUGCUGGAUGUGUGCCCUUUCUCGCAAGUGCACACACACACUAAACACACACACACUAAACACAAACACACAGAUCAUUGAACCCCUCUUGGUUCUGCUCCAUCCGGGUUUUGCCCACAGCUGCAGUGUUGUAAAGCUGCAGCUCAGUGUGCCCACCCUUUGGCUGGAGAAACGUGCCUGCAGGUACCAGUACUGGUACUGAUACCAUAUCAGUACUGGAGGGCCUCAGGGCUAGUGCAGCACAGGUAAUAUACAGUCUUUGUCUAUAUGUUCACUCAUCCUCUCUGCCUGUCUGAUUCUGCCAUGUUGGUGACAUGGUGAGUGCUGAAGCUGUGCAGCUGCUGGGCUAGGGGCCUGCUGGACAUAGUGAGGAGAGGAGAGUCUUUGUUAUGGAUGACCACAGACUGUUCUCAUUUAUCACCUAUAUACUGUUAUACUAUAUGUGGCCCUUAAAGCAUCUCAACCAGCUGAAAUAGGCUGACUCAAAGGAAUACAGUAUCUCAAAGCUUAGACUUUCUGUUAUACAGUAGGCUCAUGUAAUAUACUUUAUACAUUUUCUGUUGUGAGUGUUUCUGAUGCCACUUGGUAAAUUAUAUGCAUUCUGUGCUGUCGGAUUAAUUAAGAAGACGAUGUUGAUGCCAUCUACAUUAAAAUACUUUCUGUCUGGCAUCAACAGAACCUAAAACGAAGAAUAAGAGACAACAAACAUUCUCUCUGGUAAUUACAUGAAUCACAUACUGUAUGUAUUCUGAUUCACUGUAUAUUCAGCUAUGUUUAUGAUUGGGAUUACUAAAGCAUCUUUCUGUUGGAGCUUAAAGAACUCAUAAUGUUUCAUUUCCAGUCAACAAUAUGCUAGUGUUGUCUUAUCAGUACUGGAAUAGCGCAAAUCGUCUGAAUAGUAUGUUGGGUACAUUGAUAUACUGUAUUGUAUGUGUAAUCAAACACUCUGAGUGUUUGUGUUAGUCUCAGAUAAGAUACCACUGUUGAAACAUGACAAACAGGUCCAAACAUUACA
Molecule: long non-coding RNA, 1571 nt
Organism: Oncorhynchus tshawytscha (Chinook salmon)
Lineage: Eukaryota; Metazoa; Chordata; Actinopteri; Salmoniformes; Salmonidae
Source: Ensembl